AGAUAUUUCUAUUGACGGGAGGGAAACAGUGCCACUAGAUUACUCCGGUAAGGUAGAUACGUCAAAUGCUUCCGAUCAUCCUUUGGAAUUUUCUUGACGGUAUUAUUGGGAUUCGGCGACGACGUAGAUUUAUUUCUGGUUAUGUAUACUCUUUUAUUUCUGUGACUACUUGUUUUCUUUCCAACUAGGAGUUCGAUUAGCCUUUUCCAUCGAGACACAGAUUUCACCGUUGCUGCCGCCGUCGAUGAAGACUUGAACUUGUCCAUCUUACUACGUCGUUUGGUACCCAU
This 290-nucleotide long non-coding RNA is filed under the name Zostera marina. Its description in RNAcentral is "long non-coding RNA (ZMAR_LNC001992)". Lineage: Eukaryota; Viridiplantae; Streptophyta; Magnoliopsida; Alismatales; Zosteraceae. The record is from RNAcentral.